RNAcentral lists this ribosomal RNA (434 nucleotides) under uncultured rumen bacterium. RNAcentral describes it as "bacterial SSU rRNA". It matches the Rfam family "Bacterial small subunit ribosomal RNA", at positions 959 to 1393 of the family's 1533-position model. The record is from RNAcentral.
UCGCGAAGAACCUUACCCAGGCUUGACAUCCGGGGCACCGCCCUGAAAGGGGCGUCCCAGCAAUGGGCCCCGAGACAGAUGCUGCAUGGCCGUCGUCAGCUCGUGCCAUGAGGUGUUCGGUUAAGUCCGGCAACGAGCGCAACCCAUGCCGCCAGUUACCAUCGGGUUAUGCCGGGGACUCUGGCGGGACCGCCCGUGUCAAGCGGGAGGAGGGCGUGGACGACGUCAAGUCCGUAUGGCUCCUACGCCUGGGGCCGCAAACGUGCUACAAUGGCGGGUACAGAGCGCAGCGGGUCCGCGAGGCCCCGCGAACCGCGAAAGCCCGCCCCAGUUCGGAUUGCAGCCUGCAACUCGGCUGCAUGAAGCCGGAAUCGCUAGUAAAGGGGCAUCAGCCACGGCCCCUUGAAUACGUUCCCGGGUCUUGUACACACCGA